CGCGGAUGCACACUCUCGAGAGGACCCGGCGGCCAGGCACGCACCCGGGCAGAGAUGAGGCUGAGUCACGCACAGGAAGGAACGGGUAGCUGGUGGACAGCAGGAUGUGGAGGCUCAGUGCUGCUAAACCCCCAGCACUCUGCUACAGCCAAACUGAAUGCCAUUUGUUGAAUGAGCAAAGAAAUGAACGAAAGAAAAAGCGACGAUCUUUUCCAUUUCAUCUGACCACCGACAGUAUUGCUCCAAAGUAGUUUGACUC
Molecule: long non-coding RNA, 259 nt
Filed under: Homo sapiens (human)
Lineage: Eukaryota; Metazoa; Chordata; Mammalia; Primates; Hominidae
Description: HSALNT0213337
Source: RNAcentral